This 846-nucleotide unclassified non-coding RNA is filed under the name Hevea brasiliensis (rubber tree). Lineage: Eukaryota; Viridiplantae; Streptophyta; Magnoliopsida; Malpighiales; Euphorbiaceae. The record is from RNAcentral.
CAGGAUGGUUGACGAGGUACAUGCCAGGAGAAGUAUAUAGAGAUGGAACCCAUACCAGACAUCCCCAACAAAUAUAAAAUCCAGCUCGAUCAUGCGCGAUAUCCAUUGUGUUCCAGUACCCAGCUUCCCACCAAAAAAACUUUGUAACAUACACCAACAUCAAUAUUGUAUUUACAAACAUGGAAUCAGCUACUUUGCCAUUCUGGUCAUACCAAUAGAAAUCCAUUAUUAUGUUUCCACAUGAACCAGAAUCAGUUGAUGAUGGUGCCACAUGACCCUUUAUGUACAAGAAAACACAGAAGAAGAAGCUUCCGAAAAUCAGAGCUGAAAAUAUUUCUCCCAAAUGAUCAUAAACGAUUGAGGGGUUGAAUAUCCCAAACCACCAAAGGCCUAGAUAGGUGACCAAUGUUACUAUAUAUGCUGCCACACCAUUUGCCUUGUAAAUCGGCCGGUUCCCUUGAGGAGAAAUUGGACCCUCAACCCUUUUUCCAGGCAAAAGAAGCUGAAGUGCAGCCUCAAACGCUGCAUAACAAGCAAUUAUUUUCCAUGCUAAAGCAGUGGGUCUUGGCCAUAUGUUUAUAAAUCCCUGCAACCCAUGUUGCUUCAAGAAAUCCCAUGUUUGGGAAACUGAGCCAUCAGCAUGAACCAUUGUGUACCAUAGCAAAAUAACAAAGGGAGGGCAGAAAGCCAGAAGUGAAAGCAUCGAAGCAUAAGUGACGAUCGGUGAAUGGACAGUAUUGGUUUCUGCCAUUCUCUCUACUCUCUAAUCUGUCUCCCUAUGCGAGUAAAGUGCGAACAACUCUCUCAACUGGGAUUCCCCUUAACGAGACCUCCUCCAAGAUUUGC